Molecule: long non-coding RNA, 2903 nt
Organism: Mastomys coucha (southern multimammate mouse)
Lineage: Eukaryota; Metazoa; Chordata; Mammalia; Rodentia; Muridae
Exons: 3
Source: RefSeq, a predicted model, not a curated record
UCAGUCCCUUCUCCAGCUCCUCCAUUGGGAACCUCUCGCUCAGUCCAGUGGUUGGCUGUGAGCAUCCGCCUCUGUGUUUGUCAGGCUCUGGCAGAGCCUCGCAGGAGACAGCCCUAUCAGGCUUCCAUCAACAAGCACUUCCUGGCAGCCUCAAUAACUUCUAAGUAGUGGCUUUGAGUAGCCUGUGUUCUGUUCCUCAUGCCCUUGGUCAUCUAUGUUUAAACGAAGCCUCCGGUCACCACUUCCUCUGCUGCCUUGAAUGAAAAAACGUCUUAGAGGAUGAGACCCACUGCAAAUAAACUGAACCUAGCCAACUCCAGGAUAUAUGCCAGCAGAAGUGCCAGGAGAGCAAACACAAAUUGGCCGUGGUGGCACGACCCAGCAGAAACAGUGAGGCCUCCAAAGAAUCAGCAUAAGUCAGCAGAUGUGACCAGGACCAGCUGGGACACCACUAGCAGAUGUGACCAGAACCAGCUGGGACACCACCAGCAGAUGUGACCAGGACCAGCUGGGACACCACCAGCAGAUGUGACCAGGACCAGCUGGGACACCAGGAGAAGUUCUUUAUCAUCAGGGACAACUGUAGACCAACUAAGUGUUGCAAGGAAAACACUCCUUCAUGUGUCUGCCCCAGCAAAACACCACCCAACACAACUGACUUUCCAAAGAAACCGUAAGUUUCCACUUCACUAUGAUUUAGUGAGAUAUUAUUUUUCAACUAUAUGGUAGUAUUUUCAUUACCUUUUUAUUGAUAGCUGUUAAUUUUACAUGAUUCUACUUUACAAUUUCCAAGGAUAUUAUAAAAGAAUAUUUAACUUUCAUUUAUUUUUUUGUAUGAGACACCAUUUUAUUUUGUUAUUAAUAUAUGUGUCUUAAUAUUUAAGGUGGGUUUUCUGGAAAUAACAUAUGGUAGUUUUUGUUUGUUUUUAUUUUAAUCCAAAGAAUUGUGCCCUUUAAUGUUGGUGGACUCACAACAUUGAUGAAGGUGGUUUUUGAUGCGGUUGAAUUAAUAUAAACUAUGUUUGUGACUAUUUUGCAUUUGCUAUCCUUGUACAUCCCCUCCCUCCCCUGCCCAGCCCCAGCCCCCCAAAAACCGAGCCAAACACAAAAACAAAACCAACCAACCAACCAAACCAAUCCAAAUGAACAAAAACCCCAACUGAAGUAAAUAGACCUUCCAUCAAGUAAGAAGGUCGGGAAAGGGAACCAUUUAACUAACAGCCGUGGAUUCAGUCUGCCCUUCCUAAGACUGAUCCUAUGAAUGUCACCCAUACAGCUCAGAACUUCAUGAUCCCUGUUUUCCUGGGUGGAACCAGUGUCCAUAGUGGGCUGGCAUCUUGACUUCUUUAACUCUCUGGAAAUCUUGGUGGUUUUUCACCACCAGGUCAUCAGGUUUUGAGAAAACUGGAGGAGGCUAGGUUUAGCUAGAACAAAUCACUCUGAGGACGGUUUUUGUUACGUAGAGAACAAUGCCCUGCCAUAUUCAUGAAUGGUUCCAUUUACUGUCUACUGCCAAAACACACAGGGAAACUUUAUUCCAGUAAUUAGUUUGAGGAUCAGUAGAACCCCUGAAUGAGAAGUGAAAUUCACAGUGGUUAGGUUGGAACUUAACUUUCAUUUAUAUCUACUUCUAGUAACAACUCCUUUGCACCAUUUGCCCAAUAAUCUUUCUCCUUUUUCUCUCCAUACUUAUGUACACAUUUGUUCUGACCCAGUUUGUAAGAGAACAUCACAGAUACAUUAUUUUCCUCUAAACACCCCAAUGUGUGUUUCCUUUUUUUUCUUGGUCUCAUUCUUCUCUCGCCGUCCUACCCAUUCAGCCCUAUCUUUCCUUUCAAGAACCCAGUAAUCUGUGGCCGCUGGCAGCUCCAAGUCACACCUUUCUGAAACCUGGGAAUAAUAUUUGUUGCUUUUCUUCCUCUCUUCCGCUUGCAAAGCUCCACAACAUGACUCCAGAGGGGAGCACUGAGCUGCACUUCAGAUUUUUUUCUCUUUUAAAAGACAGACCUGAAGAUUUGAAUUUUUGUCAUCGACCAAAGACUAUUUCAUCUAAGAAAGGGGAAUGUGUAUUCUUCUGUUAAUAUCCCACGUAUUACAUUCCCUUUGAGAAGCAGGUUUUGAAGCUGAAUUUAGUGUCUCCUUCAUUGCGGACACUGUGUGGAGGAGUGCUUCACCAGUCUGCUGGGUGGUGCAUAAAGUACAAUUACCCUUGUAGUCUGGGACAGUGUCCAAGUGACAACUCAGGUCAUUUGGACACUGUGACACUCUACAGGACUGACAGUUUUUCACUUUGAAAGUGGAAUUCAAGUUAUAUCUAUUAUAAAUGAUAAAUCGAAGCACCUACUGAACUCUUCCUACAUCAAAUUAAUCUUCUGUGCCCCAAAAUGUUCAUUAUUGUAUGACUGAUAUUUAGAAAUUGGCCUAUCAUAUUAAUACCAUUAGGCAUGUGAUAUAAAACUUCUAUGUUAUGUUACUUAUGGUAUUUAAUGAACUGCAUAUUAUAUACCUUUUAUACUUGAAACUAGUUCAUCAGUGUGAUAUAAAAUGUAAUAUUUUAUCAAAAUUACCAUUCUUCCAAAUAUUGUUUAACUAAUUUUAAAGGGCUGAAUGCAUUAGCGUUUGCUGCAGGUGAGCAAAAAUUAUUUUCAUCUUUUGGAAGUCAAAAGACCAUGCUGUUUUCUCAGCCAUAAGUACCUCAAUGACAAUGCAAUUAAUAGUUGAAGUAAAAAACUUCAUUAACAUUUGUGAUGGAGUCGUGCUCCUCAACUGCACAUACAACUCUGAGGUACGUUGUUGACCCCUUGACUUUUAGGUUGUAUAUUUCAUGUAUAUUUAGGUUCAUAUUAUCACUUGUCACAGCUGGUGAAAUGGCCACUGAACUAGCCCAUUAAUGGCACAAUAUU